UGUGUAUAAGUGUAUAUUGCACAUAGAGUUUUGAUUUCUAUAGUUUAGGCUAAUAACCUUUAUUCACAA
Molecule: transfer RNA, 69 nt
Filed under: Gorpis humeralis
Lineage: Eukaryota; Metazoa; Arthropoda; Insecta; Hemiptera; Nabidae
Description: tRNA-Gln
Source: RNAcentral